Molecule: long non-coding RNA, 507 nt
Filed under: Gossypium barbadense (sea-island cotton)
Lineage: Eukaryota; Viridiplantae; Streptophyta; Magnoliopsida; Malvales; Malvaceae
Description: long non-coding RNA (GBAR_LNC022062)
Source: RNAcentral
AGAAAUAGCAUCUAGAAUCUAUGGUGAUAGGCUGGUGGUAUAGCUUGCAAGUGGCAAUCCAAACAGACAGGCACAGUAUAGCAGUAAAGAGAGAGACCCUUCAAUGAAUGGCGUUUAUUUGUAGGGCUGCUGCGGCUGUUUUUGGAUGCUGCUGAUACAGCAAACACACAACAGACAGCCGUAACGAUAUCUCGUGUAAAUGCCAAUUUAUCCCCCCCCCCCUUUUUUUUUCAAAGUAAUGUAGAAUCUAGUCUUUUCACCCUAUUUUUACCAUUAUUUUAUGUCCUCUCCCAUACGUAUAACUUUUGCUUGAAAUGACCCCAUGACCCCUUCUAAGUUUUAACCCUUUUCUAUACUCUAUACCCUUCUGGGUUUCAGGGAUUUUUUACUCUCUUUUCCUUCCUUACAGGCAGCCAGUCAGCAGAGGGUUCCACCAUUCAAAUACCACCUUAUAACCAGAUACUUAGGAGCGAACCUGACGGAUCAGGGACAAAACCAAGUUCCGAC